AAUUAACGCUGGCGGCAUGCCUAACACAUGCAAGUCGCACGAGAAAGCCCGGUUCGCCGGGCGAGUAAAGUGGCGCACGGGUGAGUAACGCGUGGAUAAUCUACCUCUAUCUGGGGGAUAACCCAUCGAAAGGUGGGCUAAUACCGCAUAAUCCGGCUGAUUUUUGGAUUGGCCGGCAAAGGUGGCCUCUUGAUCAAAGCUACCGGGUUGAGAUGAGUCCGCGUCCCAUUAGCUUGUUGGUAGGGUAACGGCCUACCAAGGCGACGAUGGGUAGCUGGUCUGAGAGGACGAUCAGCCACACUGGAACUGGUACACGGUCCAGACUCCUACGGGAGGCUG
This 339-nucleotide ribosomal RNA is filed under the name uncultured Pseudomonadota bacterium. Its description in RNAcentral is "bacterial SSU rRNA". It matches the Rfam family "Bacterial small subunit ribosomal RNA", at positions 29 to 351 of the family's 1533-position model. The record is from RNAcentral. Lineage: Bacteria; Pseudomonadati; Pseudomonadota.